This 234-nucleotide ribosomal RNA is filed under the name uncultured bacterium. RNAcentral describes it as "partial 16S ribosomal RNA". It matches the Rfam family "Bacterial small subunit ribosomal RNA", at positions 118 to 347 of the family's 1533-position model. The record is from RNAcentral.
UGAGUAACCUGCCCUUAACUCUGGGAUAAGCCUGGGAAACUGGGUCUAAUACCGGAUAUGACUCCUCAUCGCAUGGUGGGGGGUGGAAAGCUUUUUUGUGGUUUUGGAUGGACUCGCGGCCUAUCAGCUUGUUGGUGAGGUAAUGGCUCACCAAGGCGACGACGGGUAGCCGGCCUGAGAGGGUGUCCGGCCACACUGGGACUGACGAUACGGCCCAGACUCCGUAGGGAGCAG